GAGUUUGAUCUUGGCUCAGAGCGAACGCUGGCGGCAGGCCUAACACAUGCAAGUCGAACGAUCCUUCGGGAUAGUGGCGGACGGGUGAGUAACACGUGGGAACGUACCUUUAGGUUCGGGAUAACUCAGGGAAACUUGAGCUAAUACCGGAUAAGCCCUUUUGGGGAAAGAUUUAUCGCCUUUAGAGCGGCCCGCGUUAGAUUAGCUAGUGUGGGUAAGCCACAGGCUCCGAUCUAUAGCUGGUCUGAGAGGACU
This 255-nucleotide ribosomal RNA is filed under the name uncultured Alphaproteobacteria bacterium. RNAcentral describes it as "partial 16S ribosomal RNA". It matches the Rfam family "Bacterial small subunit ribosomal RNA", at positions 9 to 302 of the family's 1533-position model. The record is from RNAcentral. Lineage: Bacteria; Pseudomonadati; Pseudomonadota; Alphaproteobacteria.